AACAGGAUUAGAUACCCUGGUAGUCCACGCCGUAAACGAUGUCGACUUGGAGGUUGUGCCCUUGAGGCGUGGCUUCCGGAGCUAACACGUUAAGUCGACCGCCUGGGGAGUACGGCCGCAAGGUUAAAACUCAAAUGAAUUGACGGGGGCCCGCACAAGCGGUGGAGCAUGUGGUCUAAUUCGAUGCAACGCGAAGAACCUUACCUACUCUUGACAUCCAGAGAACUUUCCAGAGAUGGAUCGGUGCCUUCGGGAACUCUGAGACAGGUGCUGCAUGGCUGUCGUCAGCUCGUGUUGUGAAAUGUUGGGUUAAGUCCCGCAACGAGCGCAACCCUUAUCCUUUGUUGCCAGCGGUCCGGCCGGGAACUCAAAGGAGACUGCCAGUGAUAAACUGGAGGAAGGUGGGGAUGACGUCAAGUCAUCAUGGCCCUUACGAGUAGGGCCACACACGUGCUACAAUGGCGCAUACAAAGAGAAGCGACCUCGCGAGAGCAAGCGGACCUCAUAAAGUGCGUUGUAGUCCGGAUUGGAGUCUGCAACUCGACUCCAUGAAGUCGGAAUCGCUAGUAAUCGUGGAUCAGAAUGCCACGGUGAAUACGUUCCCGGGCCUUGUACACACCGCCCGUCACACCAUGGGAGUGGGUUGCAAAAGAAGUAGGUAGCUUAACCUUCGGGAGGGCGCUUACCACUUUGUGAUUCAUGACUGGGGUGAAGUCGUAACAAGGUAACC
RNAcentral lists this ribosomal RNA (730 nucleotides) under uncultured bacterium. RNAcentral describes it as "bacterial SSU rRNA". It matches the Rfam family "Bacterial small subunit ribosomal RNA", at positions 771 to 1501 of the family's 1533-position model. The record is from RNAcentral.